AUCUUUUUAGUACAAAUAGAAUUAGUGACUUCCAAUCACUUGAUCUUAGUUAAAACCUGAGAAAAGAUA
Non-coding RNA from Syngnathoides biaculeatus (alligator pipefish), 69 nucleotides. Lineage: Eukaryota; Metazoa; Chordata; Actinopteri; Syngnathiformes; Syngnathidae. The record is from the annotation of a RefSeq genome assembly.